Anolis carolinensis (green anole) is the source of this 74-nucleotide non-coding RNA. NCBI's taxonomy places the organism in Eukaryota, Metazoa, Chordata, Lepidosauria, Squamata, Anolidae. The record is from Ensembl.
GUUAGAGUGGCAGAGCCAGGUAAUGUAAAAGACCUAAGACCUUUCAAACAGAAGUUCAAAUCUUCUCUUUAACC